CAGCAGUCUAAGUACAUGUGAGUACACGAAACCGCGCAAGGGUCAAUACAACAGGUAAAAAGUAUACGGUGAGAUACCCUUUAAUGGAUAUUUGCGGUAAAUUUGGAGGUUAAACAAGCAAAAAAGAUUGUAUAAAUUUGUUGUACAAAUGCCGUUUUUUGAAUUAAAACCAAGGGGUUUGGCCCNAUAAGGUUAAUUUAGAUAAAGGGGUUCCCANCAGAAUAAAUUUUGAAGGGAAGCCGGAUUUGUAUUUGCCCCAUUCAAUAUAUAACCGGGUAUUGGACGGGUNUGGGGUUGCCGGGGAAAGGGGAAAUUGGGGUUGUUUUCGGGGAGAAAGCCCUUAAAACGGGUUUUACAUUCCAAGGAAGGAGCCGGGGGGGAAAAUUCCCCCUUUCAGGGGGGGGGGGGAGGGGAGGGGAAAGGCAAAUUUCCUUUUUUUUAGGGAGGGACAAUGGGAAGGGUUUAAUUUUAAUUCCAUGAAGAAUAUCCAAGGGAGGGGCAAUUUGGGGCCCGCCACCGCGGGAAAUUCCGGUUUCAUAAUGCCAUGGAAUGGUGUUGCGGGUUAAAAAUUUGUAAUUGCCAAGGUUCGGGAUGAGGAGGGUUUACUUUAUUGUUAAUACUAUUUCUACCGUUAAGAGUUUAUAUGGUUAAUACCCAUAUAACUCAGUUACUUUGAGUAAAUCAGAGUGCUUAGAACAAGCGUAUUGCUUGAAUGGUUGUGCAUGGAAUAACAAUACAAUGCAUUGAUAUUUGUUUUGUUGGUUUUAAUGUCAAUGAAUGAUUAAAAGGAACAAACGGGGGCAAAAGUAUCAUAAGGCGAGAGGUGAAAUUCGGGACCCUGANCAAGGA
Molecule: ribosomal RNA, 849 nt
Filed under: Halicephalobus sp. CFB105
Lineage: Eukaryota; Metazoa; Nematoda; Chromadorea; Rhabditida; Panagrolaimidae
Description: partial small subunit ribosomal RNA
Rfam family: Eukaryotic small subunit ribosomal RNA
Source: RNAcentral